UACAGGGGGGGCAAGCGUUGUUCGGAAUUACUGGGCGUAAAGGGCUCGUAGGCGGCCAACUAAGUCCGACGUGAAAUCCCAAGGCUUAACUUUGGAACUGCGUCGGAUACUGGAUGGCUUGAAUUCGGGAGAGGGAUGCAGAAUUCCAGGUGUAGCGGUGAAAUGCGUAGAUAUCUGGAGGAAUACCGGUGGCGAAGGCGGCAUCCUGGACCGACAUUGACGCUGAGGAGCGAAAGCUAGGGAGCAAACGGG
RNAcentral lists this ribosomal RNA (252 nucleotides) under uncultured bacterium. RNAcentral's name for it is "partial 16S ribosomal RNA". It matches the Rfam family "Bacterial small subunit ribosomal RNA", at positions 524 to 776 of the family's 1533-position model. The record is from RNAcentral.